UUUACAACUGCCACCAACAACCGUUAGGUCAACCAAACCACACAUUAUACUCAGUGCAACAUGUUGCAAGUGUAGGCACAGGAAAAGGACAAUCGAGGUCACAUGAUGAAACUAACCGUGGAAGAUAAAUGGCGAAAAGGAGAUACAUUUUCUAGUGGAACUAUAAACUUAAAGGAUUAGUAAAAAAUGUCAAAAAGAACGCAACAGCAAAACGUCUUAAAUAUUUUGCAAAAUUUCUUGCAUGCAAUAAAAGCUUGUGCAUGAAACUAGUUGUGAUGCGUAAAAAAUGCGUAAUAAAAGAAAAAGAAAAUUAUAAUAAUGAGAGUCAACAAUACAGGAUAUA
Molecule: non-coding RNA, 343 nt
Organism: Bactrocera oleae (olive fruit fly)
Lineage: Eukaryota; Metazoa; Arthropoda; Insecta; Diptera; Tephritidae
Source: RefSeq, a predicted model, not a curated record